RNAcentral lists this long non-coding RNA (388 nucleotides) under Mytilus galloprovincialis (Mediterranean mussel). Lineage: Eukaryota; Metazoa; Mollusca; Bivalvia; Mytilida; Mytilidae. The record is from RNAcentral.
GUUUAUGACCACAAAAGGAAGGUUGGUAUUGAUUUUGGGAGUUUUGGUCCCAACAGAAUAAGGGGCCCAAAGGGUCCAAAAUUAAACUUUGUUUGAUUUCAUCAAAAUUGAAUAAUUGGGGUUCUUUGAUAUGCCGAAUCUAACUGUCAUGACUGUGUAUGUAGAUUCUUAACUUUUGGUCCCGUUUUCAAAUUGGUCUACAUUAAGGUCCAAAGGGUCCAAAAUUAAACUUAGUUUGAUUUUGACAAAAAAUGAAUCAGUUAGGUUCUUUGAUAUGCUGAAUCUAAAAAUGUACUUAGAUUCUUGAUUAUUGGCCCAGUUUUCAAGUUGGUCCAAAUCGGGGUCCAAAAUUAAACUUUGUUUGAUUUCAUCAAAAUUUGAAUAAAUG